RNAcentral lists this transfer RNA (81 nucleotides) under Treponema sp. RNAcentral's name for it is "tRNA-Tyr". It matches the Rfam family "tRNA". Rfam says of the family: Transfer RNA (tRNA) molecules are approximately 80 nucleotides in length. Their secondary structure includes four short double-helical elements and three loops (D, anti-codon, and T loops). The record is from RNAcentral. Lineage: Bacteria; Pseudomonadati; Spirochaetota; Spirochaetia; Treponematales; Treponemataceae.
GGGGAAUUCCCGAGUGGCCAAAGGGGACAGACUGUAAAUCUGCUGGCUAUGCCUUCGUAGGUCCGAAUCCUUCACUCCCCA